UACAGAAACAGGAAGCCAAAUAGAUUCAGGGUUUGUUUUGUUUCCUGGGAGAAAAACUACCUAGAAACUGGUCCUUUUUACUACCCAGUUCACAGUAUUUCCUGAGAUUAAUAAUGAUAUCUUGCAUUUGGGUGAUGCUUCAAAAUGUUUUCUUAAAGGUCUGUGUCAGAGAUUAGCUCACUUGACUCUCUAUUUUACAAUAAGGAAACUAAAGCUCAGAGAGGCAAAAGCUUGCCCAAUGUAUCACAUUCAGGAAAUGGGACCUCACAGAAGGGUACCCAGGCUUUCUAAUUUCGUAAGCCCUCUCAUCACACAGAGAAGACGGCAGAUCUACACCACUGAAAGGACAAAAGACAAAAGAAUGCUUGUGCCUCUGCCAGCCUAAUCCCUGGAAAUAAGACUUCUUUACUUCCGAGCGUUUUCCUGGGUCCUGCCUCGCAUCUGACCAGGGCAGGUGGCCUCCUCAUCACACUGCUGCCUCUGCUGUUGGCCCUGCUCAUGAAGCCACUAAACAUAUGGUCUCAGCUCUCUUGUCCUCCAAGAAAGACAACCACCACUGCUGCCUUUCUGAUCUCACGUAAGCCUGACCCUUGCUCUCCUCCAUCCAAAAAAUGAGAUAGACCCCUCCCUAACUUCCCACAGCACAACUAAGACCAGGUUAACAUGUUAACUAGACUUUAUUAAAGGUUUGGGCACCAUGGAAGGAAAGUACAACAAAGGCAGUAACUUACUAUUGCUAUAAAAGUGGUUAUUCUUCAAGUAGACAGGACCUCAGAUCUCUCAUUGGUCCAGCUUCAGGCUGGCUGACAUCUUGCCAGGAAUGUCUCAGCAUAGCCAUGACUCAGAGCCCCUUCCAAAUUCCUAGGACCAAAGAGAAGAUGCUGUUCACCUCGAUCUAAGGCCCUAGGUCCUCAUUUCUUGCCUCCCAUUGGAGCUCAUCCAAGAUGGUUGACAAUGAGAAGAUAAACUCUCUUCAAGGAAAACUCCACACCUAGCCAAGAAGCUGUGAUUUUGCUUUAGGAACCAUUGAAACUCAUAACCCUAUAACACCAUAACCCAACAGAGUUUUUCUGCCUUAAGUAAUACCUCAUGUGAAUGCAGUCAUUCAGGUAAGUGUGUGCCAGCCUUAGCCAGUCUAGCUUCUUUUUAGUAGUAACAUGAAGUGGAGGAAGAAUUGGGCCUGUAAGACCUUCAUACCAUCUUCUCUAUCCUUGUUUUCCAUUUCAAAUACUCAUAGAGCGAGACAGACGACUCUGCAAAUAUGCAGUCCUUGGUACUUAUAGUAUGGCUCACAUCCAGUUUGUGAACAGAAACAUUUUCUUAAAACACAUCUGUGAAAGCUCUUCUAAAAAAUUUCCCAAUUUACAUUAUUAAACCUUAACUUUCCAUUCUGAAGCAUUUUCUUUGGAAGUUUUUCAUCGAGUUCAGGUUUUUCUUCCAAACAAUGAUUUGGUACUCUUCUCAUUUUUCCCUAGGAACAAAGUAACAGGCUUCCUCAAGGACUCCAGCCAGAAUGUAGGACUUUCUCUUAAUUUUAAAAGUCUUGUGGAGACUGUAAAUAGCAGAGACACCAGUGUGAAGAGGGGGCCACGAAGUUUUAAAAAAUCUCAAGUUUUAGAAUCCAGAGGAUCCUUUAAGAAACUACUCUAAAAUUCAAUGGCUGCCUUAAAACAACAUGAUUUAUUCUCAUGAGUCUCAGUUGGGUGAGGCUGGGCUCCAGAGUCUGGGUUGUGAGCUGCAGGCUGCAUGUUGUGUUCAGGCCUGCCACGUGUGUCUCAUUCUGAGGCCUAGGCUGAGGUUCAGUGGCUACUGAAGCAUAUUCUUCUCAUGGCAGAUCCCCUCAGCUCAAAAGCUUACCUCAAGUGCACAAGCACAUUUCAAGCUUCUACUUGAGCCACGCCCGCUAACAUCCUAUCUGUCAAAGGAAGACAUAUGGCUAAGCCUAGUGUCAAGAGGUGGGGAAGCUCACUUAGCCCUCCCCUCCACAAAGCUGUUACACUUCUAUUACAGAAUUCUAUUACAGAGGAGCGGUAAUUAUGUCUAGUAGUUCAAUUUCCUUUCCUGGACCACCGCAGACUUUGCCUAGUUCUCUAACUACUCUCUCUUGUGUCCAGCCUUGCCCCACAUGCUCAUCAUUUAUACCUGAUUUGGUCACUCCUCUGCUUAAAUCAAUACUUCCAUUACAUGAAGAAUUGAAACUUUUUAGUAAGACCAAUGAGUUCAUCCCGGUUAGUUCUAUAACGUGUUUUAUUUCCAUUAGUCACUCUCUCUCUCUCUCUCUCCCCUCACCCUCUAAAGCUUUGCUUCCAUCUACCUGUUACUUCUCUGAACAUCUAAACGUUUUUAAGGCUUGUGGUUUUAUGCGUGUUAUUUCUUCUCCAGAAAUUUACUUUAUUUAUCAAACAAAAGUUUAUUAAAUGUCCGUGAUGUGCCAGGCACCUGGAAAGAUUAGAGGUACGUUGGAGAACAAAUUAGAAUUUGGUCCUUCCCUCGGAGAGCUUACGGGAGAGUGAGGAAAUGCACCUGCCCAGCCUUUUUGCCACAGUGAACAUGAGUCAUCUUUUAGGAUGCAGAUGUGAUCACCUAUGCCUUUCUCUGUUUUCCCCAGAGGGAGUUAAGUUUUUCCUUUUUAAUGUUCUCAUACCACUUUGCAUCAGUGCAGCUAAAUAAUAUUUUGAGAUACAAAUUAAUGCUUUUUUUUCUUUCUGUAUUUCCCCCUUUCCCCUCCUCCCUAUUCUUUGUCUAAGGAUGUUUUGGGGAAAGAAGCCUCCUUGCCUCUCCAAAAAACCACAUAAAGCCAUCGGGACCAUUUUCCUAGGUGACUGUAGGAGAAAUAUCAAGAUAAAGUGAUGUGCAACCAGCAGGGGAGAAUCCAGGUGAAAGUGGUGAAGAACAUGGGAACCUCUCUCCCAGGUGAAAAGAAUUUCCUGGCCUGGGGAAAGAAGGAAGAGAAAGAGAUCUGUAGGUCCUGGGAGCAGAGAGGACCUCUAUGCUCCUUUCGGCAAUGCCCUGAAUAUGAUCAGUAAUAGUAACAACAAUGACAAUAGCAACAGCAAUGAUAAUGAGAGCAGCUGACUGCUACUGAACACUGACUAUGUACCAGGAAUUGUGCUAAGUACUUUAUGUUACAUUACCUCAAUUUUGUCCUCACAACAACUCUGGGAGGUAGGUAAUAUACAUAUCUCCACUUUACAGAUGAAAAUCUGAAGCUUAGGAAAUGGAAGAACAUCUGCCGGAGGUCACACAGACAUGGCACGUUCAUGAUGUGAAUCCAAGUGAUGCUGAAGUCAGCCUUCUUAAACAUUCACAAUUCUGCCCCUCUUCAGUGAGGCCUCCAAGACCAGCUGCCUGGGGAACUCAGGCAGAGAAAGCUAUCUGCAGCCAGACAAUCUUUUGAGAAUACAUCAGAGAAUGUAACAUGAAGACAUUUUUGGCAAAAUGUUCAUUAAUCACACUAUGUAAUUUCUAAGAGCAAAGGGUGCUAACAAACUGUAAUGACAAUCACUGCAGAAUUUAUCAAGAAAACAAUGGUGAUGACCAGAAAGAGGAAAUCCAUUCUCGGUAGAGGAAUGAUGCCGGAGAGAACGGCAACAAACGGGCUCAGCAGGAGAAGGCCUUACCACUGUCAAGGGCCAGAAAUCCAAUCACUGUCACCUGAGAGGAAAAUUAGCCAAAGAAUCAAGACUCCUCCUAGCAUUGAAGCAAUGUAACGUAAAUCAGAGCUGUUGUCGGUGUGUGUGAUGAUACAGCGACCCAGUUAGCACGCUGCCCUUCUUAGUCACUUCCUUCCUCUUCCUCCACCUCUUUCUGGUUCCUGAGCUUGGGUCCUGUGAGCUCUCCAAUUCUGUAGUCCCAUUCAUCUCAAGUAGAAUUUUUUUCUAUUGGAUAACUACCAAUGUUUACAGCUUUUAUUUGAAUUCAUGGAGAACGAUUAUGUCAGUAACCCAAAGUACCUGCCUAAACUUACAAGUCUGAACUAAAACUGUAAAGCAUUUGAGGAAAAGCACAGUUCUCAGGCUCAUUCCUUCGUUCACUCACAGACCAUCCAGUCUCCAUCUAUUGUUUACUAUAUGUUGGGCUCUGCUCUAGGCGCUGGAUUCGCAGAUUCGCUGGGAAGACAGACAUGUGAAUAAAUUCUCUGUGCAAUAUCACGGGCGCUAGAACACAGGCCUUCUACAGGUCCAAGAGCACAGAAGGGGGAAGGUAAUACAGAAAAGAGGGGAGGACGUUUGAGCUGGAUCUGGAGGAGGAUAAUGAGUUUGUCAACUGGCUCAGGGAGAAAAAGCCACCUUGGGAAAAAGAACAGCAUUUUCAAAAACCUAGUAUCAUGAAAGAGCAUUGUGUAUUUACGGAUUGGGAAGUGAUUCCAUGUAUUAGGGUGGAGUGUGGGAAGAGAAGAGUGGGAGAUGAAGCAGGGAAGAAAGCAAGGCUGUGAUUGGCUCUGUAUGCUGUACUUAACCAUUGAGAGAUUUUUACAGAUUUUACUGAUAGGGUUAGUUUUUGAUGGAAGCUAGUUAUUCUGUUGGCUACUUGGGCACUCUUGUGAAUAUGCUAUUUCUCUUCUCUGAUGGCCAAAUGAUGCUAGUGCCAGGGUGGGGACAGCUGAACCCAGCAGGAGAAAAACUAGAUAGGGUGCAGAGCUGGCCGGUUUCUACUAUAUAGAUCCGCACAUGAUGGUAUCCAGGAAUGCUCUUGACUGACUUGGAUUUGGCAUGUGUGUGUGCAUGAUGAUAUUUGGGUCUAUAAUGGGCUGGGGUGGAGGAUAAAUCCUGGAGCUCACUCAGGUACUAGAAAUUCUUAAUUACGCUUGUGCUCACGACUAUGCCAACAGAGUUGCCCUUCAGGUUCCCUCGAGACAUGAGUAAUAGGUGUAAUAUGUGAAUGUUUCUCUGACCUCCCCCUCCCUCAGUAAAUGGGGGAGUAUUUUAGUCCAAGAGAAAAAGGGAAACACAGAGGAACUGGUGUGAGAGAUAAAAUCCUUGAAAAAAAGUCCUUGUUAGUUUUUCUCAAAGGUUUAAUCUUUUUUCUCGAAAUUAGUCAGCAUGGCAGAGUGGUUAAGAGCAAACUUUGGAAGGAGAUUAUUUUAGGCUCUUAUUCUGACUCUAUCAAUUAACAGCUGUGGGACCUGUGGCAAGUCAGGCAGCAUCUCUUAACCUAAUUUCUCACCUGUAAACUGGGCAAAAUAACACCUAUGUGCAGAGUAGUAAGAAUCAAAUGAAGAAAUGAGUGGAAAGUACUUAGCAUAAUACCCAUCACGUGGUAAUCGUGGACUCCAUUAGUCUUUGUGAGAGAUUUCCUAUCAAGCAUCUUUUUGGAUCUGAUGGUACCAGCUUUGCUUUGUAAAUAAACUUUUUCUUGCCUGUU
This is a non-coding RNA of Equus caballus (horse), 5364 nucleotides long. The record is from RefSeq and is a predicted model, not a curated record. Lineage: Eukaryota; Metazoa; Chordata; Mammalia; Perissodactyla; Equidae.